Molecule: ribosomal RNA, 497 nt
Filed under: uncultured bacterium
Lineage: Bacteria
Description: partial 16S ribosomal RNA
Rfam family: Bacterial small subunit ribosomal RNA
Source: RNAcentral
GAUGAACGCUGGCGGCGUGCCUAAUACAUGCAAGUCGAGCGAACAGAUAAGGAGCUUGCUCCUUUGACGUUAGCGGCGGACGGGUGAGUAACACGUGGGUAACCUACCUAUAAGACUGGGAUAACUUCGGGAAACCGGAGCUAAUGCCGGAUAAUAUUUCGAACCGCAUGGUUCGAUAGUGAAAGAUGGUUUUGCUAUCACUUAUAGAUGGACCCGCGCCGUAUUAGCUAGUUGGUAAGGUAACGGCUUACCAGGGCGACGAUACGUAGCCGACCUGAGAGGGUGAUCGGCCACACUGGAACUGAGACACGGUCCAGACUCCUACGGGAGGCAGCAGUAGGGAAUCUUCCGCAAUGGGCGAAAGCCUGACGGAGCAACGCCGCGUGAGUGAUGAAGGUCUUCGGAUCGUAAAACUCUGUUAUUAGGGAAGAACAUACGUGUAAGUAACUGUGCACGUCUUGACGGUACCUAAUCAGAAAGCCACGGCUAACUACGUG